This 1299-nucleotide ribosomal RNA is filed under the name Arcoscalpellum epeeum. RNAcentral describes it as "16S ribosomal RNA". The stretch from base 604 to 1299 matches the Rfam family "Archaeal large subunit ribosomal RNA", at positions 1423 to 2882 of the family's 2987-position model. Lineage: Eukaryota; Metazoa; Arthropoda; Thecostraca; Scalpellidae. The record is from RNAcentral.
UCUGCACAAAAUAGUUAUAUCUCAGAAAAUUUAAAUAGAAAAAAAGUAAAGUAAAGAAAAAGAAAUAUUAUUGCUACGAUAGAAAAGAGUACUGUAAAGGAAUUUUGAAAAAGAAGAAAUUAAACAGAAGAAAAGAACUAUUAAAUUAAGGUACCUUUUGUAUCAGGAACUAUUAAAAUUUCCUUAAAGUAGGUUUUCUCGAAAAUAAAAGACCUAAUUUUUUUUAUAAGCUAUUGUAUUAAAAAUAUUUGAAAAAAAAAAUUUGGGUUUAAAUGAAAUUCGAUUUUAUAGAUAUCUAGUUACUUACGAAAUAAAUUUAGUUUAGAAAAUUAAGGGAGAUUCUAAUAUAGAUAAUCUUUUAUAUUUUUUUAAUUUUUAGGGGAUGAGCUCUAAAAAUAAAAAAUAAUUAAAUUACUAGAAAAGUUAUUUUUAGGCUUAUAAAUGGCCAUAUAAUUGUGUUAUAAUAAAUAACUUUUAAAAAACGAUUUUAUUUAAUUUUUAACUUUAGUAAGUUAAUGUUUUAACUAUUCAAACAUAGUAAAUAUGAUAGUAUUAGUAGAUAAAUAAUGAUUAAGAAUUUUAUAUAAAGUAUUCUAAAUUUUUUGUUUCAGAAAUACUUAUAAAAGAACUCGGCAAAAAUAAUUUCCGAAUGUUUAACAAAAACAUUUCUUUCUAUUUUAGAAAGUAAGGCCUGCUCACUGAUAUUUAAAGAGCCGCAGUAUUCUAACUGUGCUAAGGUAGCAUAAUCAUUAGUCUUUUAAUUGGAGACUGGUAUGAAUGGUUUAACGAGAAAUUAGCUUUUUUUGUAGGUAAUAUUUAAAUUAAUUUUUUAGUUAAAAAGCUAAAAUCUUUUAAAAAGACGAGAAGACCCUAUAGAGUUUUAUACAACUAUAUUUUAAUUUAAUUAGCGCAUUUUCAAAAACUAAAAUUAAAUUUGUAUUUUGUUGGGGCGACGUUAAGAUAAAAAAAACUCUUAAUAUAAAGUACUAUUAUAAUAGUUUUGAUCCUUUAAAAAAGAUUAUAAGAAAAUUACCUUAGGGAUAACAGCGUAAUCUUUUUUGAGAGUUCUAAUCGACAAAAAGGUUUGCGACCUCGAUGUUGGACUAAAAUUUUAUCAAGGCGCAGCUGCUUUGUGUUAAGGUCUGUUCGACCUUUAAAUUUUUACACGAUCUGAGUUCAAACCGGCGUGAGCCAGGUUGGUUUCUAUCUUUUAUAAUUAAUUAAUUAGUUUAGUACGAAAGGAUUAACUAAUUAUAAAUUUUAUUAAAUAUAAGAGGAUUAUUAAACAUUUUAAAAUAA